RNAcentral lists this ribosomal RNA (252 nucleotides) under Triticum aestivum (bread wheat). Its description in RNAcentral is "partial small subunit ribosomal RNA". Lineage: Eukaryota; Viridiplantae; Streptophyta; Magnoliopsida; Poales; Poaceae. The record is from RNAcentral.
AUGGAGUAUGGCGUGACGACGACGGUGGGGGAGGAGCAGGGGUGGGAGACGCCGAGGAGGGAGGGCUGCCGCAUCCCGGCGGUGCCGACGUGCCCGCCGCCGCCGCCGAGGAAGAAGCCCGCGGUGGAGCUCGGCAGGGGGGCGGCGCCGCGCCGGGAGCCGCCCAAGGGUGGGUACUUCCAGCCGCCGGACAUCGAGUCCCUCUUCAUGCUCGCGCCGCCGCGGAGGCACACCGCCUCCACCUGCGCGUAA